RNAcentral lists this ribosomal RNA (747 nucleotides) under uncultured bacterium. Its description in RNAcentral is "bacterial SSU rRNA". It matches the Rfam family "Bacterial small subunit ribosomal RNA", at positions 33 to 773 of the family's 1533-position model. The record is from RNAcentral.
ACGCUGGCGGCAGGCCUAACACAUGCAAGUCGAGCGGCAGCACGGGUACUUGUACCUGGUGGCGAGCGGCGGACGGGUGAGUAAUGCCUAGGAAUCUGCCUGGUAGUGGGGGAUAACGCUCGGAAACGGACGCUAAUACCGCAUACGUCCUACGGGAGAAAGCAGGGGACCUUCGGGCCUUGCGCUAUCAGAUGAGCCUAGGUCGGAUUAGCUAGUUGGUGAGGUAAUGGCUCACCAAGGCGACGAUCCGUAACUGGUCUGAGAGGAUGAUCAGUCACACUGGAACUGAGACACGGUCCAGACUCCUACGGGAGGCAGCAGUGGGGAAUAUUGGACAAUGGGCGAAAGCCUGAUCCAGCCAUGCCGCGUGUGUGAAGAAGGUCUUCGGAUUGUAAAGCACUUUAAGUUGGGAGGAAGGGCAUUUACCUAAUACGUAAGUGUUUUGACGUUACCGACAGAAUAAGCACCGGCUAACUCUGUGCCAGCAGCCGCGGUAAUACAGAGGGUGCAAGCGUUAAUCGGAAUUACUGGGCGUAAAGCGCGCGUAGGUGGUUUGUUAAGUUGAAUGUGAAAUCCCCGGGCUCAACCUGGGAACUGCAUCCAAAACUGGCAAGCUAGAGUAUGGUAGAGGGUGGUGGAAUUUCCUGUGUAGCGGUGAAAUGCGUAGAUAUAGGAAGGAACACCAGUGGCGAAGGCGACCACCUGGACUGAUACUGACACUGAGGUGCGAAAGCGUGGGGAGCAAAC